Triticum dicoccoides is the source of this 527-nucleotide long non-coding RNA. RefSeq lists it as uncharacterized. The transcript is spliced from 3 exons. NCBI's taxonomy places the organism in Eukaryota, Viridiplantae, Streptophyta, Magnoliopsida, Poales, Poaceae. The record is from RefSeq and is a predicted model, not a curated record.
AAGCAGUUGAUCAUUACCUGUCACAGUAUACAAAACACCUAUCUAAUAUUGGGGAAAAUGUAUAUAUUUUCUCAAGCAGCUAUGUGGAUAUAGGUCUUGUUGAAAAUUUGUAACUGAGCUUAUAAUCUUAACAAUUGUUGUGGAACAGUCAGCUGAUAUGUUCUUAUGUGAAUCAUCCACCCAAUUAGCUACAAUGCUUUCCAAGGCCAGUACCAUACCAACAUUGGAGCCGAAAGAGCAUGUGCCAAAUUGGACACAUACAUACGGUAUGAAAAUUUACGUAGAAGAGAAGGGCCCAUCACUCCAGAGUCUAGGAAAGUUGGGUAAAUGUAAUCUUUUUAUGGAAAAAUGCAAAACCAGUCAGCCAUCAACCCUAACAGAGGGGCUAGCGCUCUUUAUCUCUAAUGUAUAAUCCUUUUAUUUGGCGUUGUUGCCAUGCCGCUAUAGCUGGUCUUUUGCUGUUCUCCUUUUCCUGUAAUCAGUUGUACUUGGUUUUCUCUACCCUCAUAUCAAUGAAAAUGCAGCGU